RNAcentral lists this long non-coding RNA (686 nucleotides) under Phasianus colchicus (ring-necked pheasant). RNAcentral's name for it is "lncRNA (ENSPCLG00000000572.1)". Lineage: Eukaryota; Metazoa; Chordata; Aves; Galliformes; Phasianidae. The record is from RNAcentral.
GCUCCUCAAUGUUUUUGCUUUGGGCUUAGUCUUUCUAAUUGGUCCUUUGCAUAUAUUUGGUCUCCUUGCAUUGCCUUUUCCAGCAAGGGAGAGGGUUUGUAACUACAGGGAUCAGUGCUGUGCUCUCCUCUAUCAUCCAGCCACCACGUCCUAAGGAGAUUUCCCCGACAAGACCAUCCAAGUUCUAAAGUUGGAAUAUACCCUAAUACUGCGGCCUUUGAAUUCAUUGACUUCCAUGUGCUGAGGGGCAUUGCUGUCCCCACGUGGCCCUAUCUGUGGGGGGAUUUGAAUCGUAGAAUCGUUAAGGUUGGAAAAGACCACUAAGACCAUCCAGUCCAACCAUCAGCCCAUCCCUACUGUGUCCCUCAGUGCCACAUCUCCAUGGUUCUGGAACACCUCCAGGGACAGUGGUUCCAUCAUCUCUCUGAGCAGUUUGUGCCAGUUGAGAAAUGAAGUUCCUUGGGAGACAAGUUUUUGAAGGAUUAUUAGUGUGUGGGAGUGGAUGCUUAGAAUUUGGAAUCAGAGCAAGACAGAGACCAUAGAUGCUGGAAGGUAGAGUAGAGCAAGCUGGCUGAAGCAGUGAUCUCUGCUGCUUCUCCCACUGAUCACCCAUGUGUGGUUUCUGGUCACUUGCAUAAUUCUUGGCUGUCCCAAGGCCCAUAAUUUAUUGCCUGUUAUUAGAUUUU